AGUGAACGCUGGCGGUAGGCCUAACACAUGCAAGUCGAACGGCAGCACAGGAGAGCUUGCUCUCUAGGUGGCGAGUGGCGGACGGGUGAGGAAUACAUCGGAAUCUACUUUUUCGUGGGGGAUAACGUAGGGAAACUUACGCUAAUACCGCAUACGACCUACGGGUGAAAGAAGGGGAUCUUCGGACCUUGCGCGAUUGAAUGAGCCGAGGUCGGAUUAGGUAGUUGGCGGGGUAAAGGCCCACCAAGGCGACGAUCCGUAGCUGGUCUGAGAGGAUGAUCAGCCACACUGGAACUGAGACACGGUCCAGACUCCUACGGGAGGCAGCAGUGGGGAAUAUUGGACAAUGGGCGCGAGCCUGAUCCAGCCAUACCGCGUGGGUGAAGAAGGCCUUCGGGUUGUAAAGCCCUUUUGUUGGGAAAGAAAUCCAGCUGGUUAAUACCCGGUUGGGAUGACGGUACCCAAAGAAUAAGCACCGGCUAACUUCGUGCCAGCCGCCGCAGUAA
Molecule: ribosomal RNA, 506 nt
Filed under: uncultured bacterium
Lineage: Bacteria
Description: partial 16S ribosomal RNA
Rfam family: Bacterial small subunit ribosomal RNA
Source: RNAcentral